This 253-nucleotide ribosomal RNA is filed under the name uncultured bacterium. Its description in RNAcentral is "partial 16S ribosomal RNA". It matches the Rfam family "Bacterial small subunit ribosomal RNA", at positions 524 to 776 of the family's 1533-position model. The record is from RNAcentral.
UACAGAGGGGGCAAGCGUUAUUCGGAAUUAUUGGGCGUAAAGGGCGCGUAGGCGGCCUGGCAAGUGGGAGGUGAAAUCCCUCGGCUUAACCGAGGAACUGCCCUCCAAACUGCUUGGCUUGAGACCGGGAGAGGUGAGUGGAAUUCCCAGUGUAGCGGUGAAAUGCGUAGAUAUUGGGAGGAACACCAGUGGCGAAGGCGGCUCACUGGACCGGUACUGACGCUGAGGCGCGAAAGCGUGGGGAGCAAACGGG